This 496-nucleotide ribosomal RNA is filed under the name uncultured bacterium. Its description in RNAcentral is "partial 16S ribosomal RNA". It matches the Rfam family "Bacterial small subunit ribosomal RNA", at positions 29 to 507 of the family's 1533-position model. The record is from RNAcentral.
AUGAACGCUGGCGGCGUGCCUAAUACAUGCCCGUCGAGCGAACAGACGAGGAGCUUGCUCCUCUGACGUUAGCGGCGGACGGGUGAGUAACACGUGGAUAACCUACCUAUAAGACUGGGAUAACUUCGGGAAACCGGAGCUAAUACCGGAUAAUAUAUUGAACCGCAUGGUUCAAUAGUGAAAGACGGUUUUGCUGUCACUUAUAGAUGGAUCCGCGCCGCAUUAGCUAGUUGGUAAGAUAACGGCUUACCAAGGCAACGAUGCGUAGCCGACCUGAGAGGGUGAUCGGCCACACUGGAACUGAGACACGGUCCAGACUCCUACGGGAGGCAGCAGUAGGGAAUCUUCCGCAAUGGGCGAAAGCCUGACGGAGCAACGCCGCGUGAGUGAUGAAGGUCUUCGGAUCGUAAAACUCUGUUAUUAGGGAAGAACAAAUGUGUAAGUAACUAUGCACGUCUUGACGGUACCUAAUCAGAAAGCCACGGCUAACUACGUG